GCCAGUGUGGCUCAGUGGAUAGAGCGUCGGCCUGCUGACUGAAGGGUCCUGGGUUCAAUUCCAGUCAAGGGCA
This 73-nucleotide transfer RNA is filed under the name Myotis davidii. It matches the Rfam family "tRNA". Rfam says of the family: Transfer RNA (tRNA) molecules are approximately 80 nucleotides in length. Their secondary structure includes four short double-helical elements and three loops (D, anti-codon, and T loops). Lineage: Eukaryota; Metazoa; Chordata; Mammalia; Chiroptera; Vespertilionidae. The record is from Rfam by way of RNAcentral.